CGGCUUCCUACGGGAGGCAGCAGUGGGGAAUAUUGCACAAUGGGCGGAAGCCUGAUGCAGCGACGCCGCGUGAGGGAUGACGGCCUUCGGGUUGUAAACCUCUUUCAGCACGGAAGAAGCGAAAGUGACGGUACGUGCAGAAGAAGCGCCGGCUAACUACGUGCCAGCAGCCGCGGUAAUACGUAGGGCGCAAGCGUUGUCCGGAAUUAUUGGGCGUAAAGAGCUCGUAGGCGGUUUGUCGCGUCUGCUGUGAAAGCCCGGGGCUUAACCCCGGGUGUGCAGUGGGUACGGGCAGACUUGAGUGCAGUAGGGGAGACUGGAAUUCCUGGUGUAGCGGUGAAAUGCGCAGAUAUCAGGAGGAACACCGAUGGCGAAGGCAGGUCUCUGGGCUGUUACUGACGCUGAGGAGCGAAAGCAUGGGGAGCGAACAGGAUUAGAUACCCUGGUAGUCCAUGCCGUAAACGUUGGGCACUAGGUGUGGGGAACAUUCCACGUUUUCCGCGCCGUAGCUAACGCAUUAAGUGCCCCGCCUGGGGAGUACGGCCGCAAGGCUAAAACUCAAAUGAAUUGACGG
RNAcentral lists this ribosomal RNA (574 nucleotides) under uncultured marine bacterium. Its description in RNAcentral is "bacterial SSU rRNA". It matches the Rfam family "Bacterial small subunit ribosomal RNA", at positions 332 to 916 of the family's 1533-position model. The record is from RNAcentral.